Molecule: ribosomal RNA, 301 nt
Filed under: uncultured bacterium
Lineage: Bacteria
Description: partial 16S ribosomal RNA
Rfam family: Bacterial small subunit ribosomal RNA
Source: RNAcentral
CAGUCGCCGCGGUAAUACGAAGGGGGCUAGCGUUGCUCGGAAUUACUGGGCGUAAAGCGCACGUAGGCGGCUUGGUAAGUUAGAGGUGAAAGCCCGGAGCUCAACUCCGGAAUUGCCUUUAAGACUGCCGAGCUAGUAGGUGAGAGAGGUAAGUGGAAUUCCGAGUGUAGAGGUGAAAUUCGUAGAUAUUCGGAAGAACACCAGUGGCGAAGGCGGCUUACUGGCUCAUUCUAGACGCUGAGGUGCGAAAGCGUGGGGAGCAAACAGGAUUAGAUACCCGCGUAGUCCCUGUCUCUUAUAC